GUGCUCACUUCAGGAGCAUAUGUACUAAAAUUGAACAAUACAGAGAUUAUCACGGCCCCUGUGCAAGGAUGACACGCAAAUUCGUGAAGCAUUCCAGAUUUUU
This is a small nuclear RNA of Suricata suricatta (meerkat), 103 nucleotides long. NCBI's taxonomy places the organism in Eukaryota, Metazoa, Chordata, Mammalia, Carnivora, Herpestidae. The record is from Ensembl.